This is a long non-coding RNA of Brienomyrus brachyistius, 357 nucleotides long. RefSeq lists it as uncharacterized. The record is from RefSeq and is a predicted model, not a curated record. NCBI's taxonomy places the organism in Eukaryota, Metazoa, Chordata, Actinopteri, Osteoglossiformes, Mormyridae. The transcript is spliced from 3 exons.
GGUUUUUAUGCGCACGACUUUUGGCACUAAUUUAACGCCAUAGAAACCCCUCAGACUGACCCAGAACCCCGGCAUAUAGACAGAGGUCUCUGGCAGAGUCCUUUCGGAGACGCGAAGAAUAUCCAGGGUUACAGAGAGGAGGCCUGAAGCCUGUUCCAGACAAGCCAGGGCAGGCGGCAGGGGAAGACUCUGGAUGGCAUGGAAGUUCACCAGAGGACACACACAUGUUACAAGGAACACAUGUGAAAGAACUCCACUGCGGGGUCUCAGAGUUCCCAUAUCCAUGAUCUCAAAGGACUGGCCGGGGACCAGGUGGAAAUGAAAUCUCUGCACCAGUUUGGCUAGCACAACCUUUGC